GAUGAAGAACGCAGCGAAACGCGAUAGUUAAUGUGAAUUGCAGAAUUCAGUGAAUCAUCGAGUCUUUGAACGCAUAUUGCGCCCAUUGGUAUUCCAUUGGGCAUGUCUGUUUGAGCGUCAUUACAAACCCUCGACCCAGGUCGGUUUUGAGCUGGCUUAACGGGUGCAAACCCAAGCCGGUUUUAAAGUUGUAGGCUUUGCUGACAGCUGCUCCAACCAACAACAUAGUAAAACAUACUUGUUCUAGGUGGGGUGGUUCCAGCCUUGAAAAUGACACUUGUGGUUUGACCUCAGAUCAGAUAAGGAUACCCGCUGAACUUAAGCAUAUCAAUAAGCGGAGGA
RNAcentral lists this unclassified non-coding RNA (342 nucleotides) under soil metagenome. Its description in RNAcentral is "partial contains 5.8S ribosomal RNA, internal transcribed spacer 2, and large subunit ribosomal RNA". The stretch from base 1 to 120 matches the Rfam family "5.8S ribosomal RNA", at positions 35 to 154 of the family's 154-position model. The record is from RNAcentral.